CAUCAGAAAACUUUUAAGUUUGAGUCUUUUAAACUCAAAAAGUAAUUUUCAUUACCACUGAUGA
RNAcentral lists this transfer RNA (64 nucleotides) under Engaewa subcoerulea. RNAcentral's name for it is "tRNA-Lys". Lineage: Eukaryota; Metazoa; Arthropoda; Malacostraca; Decapoda; Parastacidae. The record is from RNAcentral.